AAACUAACAAGGAUUCCCCUAGUAGCGGCGAGCGAAGCGGGAAGAGCUCAAAUUUAUAAUCUGGCACUUUCAGUGUCCGAGUUGUAAUCUCUAGAAGUGUUUUCCGCGUUGGACCGCACACAAGUCUGUUGGAAUACAGCGGCACAGUGGUGACACCCCCGUACACGGUGCGGACGCCCAGCGCUUUGUGAUACACUUUCGAAGAGUCGAGUUGUUUGGGAAUGCAGCUCAAAUUGGGUGGUAAAUUCCAUCUAAAGCUAAAUAUUGGCGAGAGACCGAUAGCGAACAAGUACCGUGAGGGAAAGAUGAAAAGCACUUUGGAAAGAGAGUUAACAGUACGUGAAAUUGUUGGAAGGGAAACGCUUGAAGUCAGACUUGCUUGCCGGAGCUUGCUUCGGUUUGCAGGCCAGCAUCAGUUUUCCGGGGUGGAUAAUGGCGGUUAGAAGGUAGCAGCUUCAGCUGUGUUAUAGCUUUCCGCUGGAUACAUCCUGGGGGACUGAGGAACGCAGCGUGCUUUUAGC
RNAcentral lists this ribosomal RNA (521 nucleotides) under Rhodotorula paludigena. RNAcentral's name for it is "LSU rRNA". It matches the Rfam family "Eukaryotic large subunit ribosomal RNA", at positions 62 to 570 of the family's 3401-position model. The record is from RNAcentral. Lineage: Eukaryota; Fungi; Basidiomycota; Microbotryomycetes; Sporidiobolales; Sporidiobolaceae.